GAAUGAAGGAAGCAUGGUAAGGUGCACAGAGAUUGAAAGAUCAAAGGGUCCUCAUGUCUGCUCGCUCUGAUGCCCUCGGGCCUUGAUUUUGCGGGCCUGGAUUAGACCCACAUUC
Small nucleolar RNA from Magnolia sinica, 115 nucleotides. RefSeq annotates it as small nucleolar RNA snoR100. The record is from RefSeq and is a predicted model, not a curated record. Lineage: Eukaryota; Viridiplantae; Streptophyta; Magnoliopsida; Magnoliales; Magnoliaceae. The transcript has a single exon.